AUUGAACGCUGGCGGCACGCCUAACACAUGCAAGUCGAACGAGUGGCGGACGGGUGAGUAAUGUCUGGGAAACUGCCUGAUGGAGGGGGAUAACUAAUGGAAACGGUAGCUAAUACCGCAUACCAUCGGAUGUGCCCAGAGGGGAUGAGCUAGUAGGUGGGGUAAAGGCUCACCUAGGCGACGAGCCCUAGCUGGUCUGCGAGGAUGAACAGCCGGCCAGGUACUGGGACACGUUCCAGACUCCGACGGGAGGCAGCAGUGGGGAAUAUUGCACAAUGGGCGCAAGCCUGAUGCAGCCAUGCCGCUUGUAUGAAGAAGGCCUUCGGGUUGUAAAGUACUUUCAGCGGGGAGGCGUUACCCGCAGAAGAAGCACCGGCUAACUCCGUGACAGCAGCCGCGGUAAGAC
This 406-nucleotide ribosomal RNA is filed under the name uncultured bacterium. RNAcentral describes it as "partial 16S ribosomal RNA". It matches the Rfam family "Bacterial small subunit ribosomal RNA", at positions 29 to 526 of the family's 1533-position model. The record is from RNAcentral.